UCUUAGUGGCGGACGGGUGAGUAACGCGUGAGUAACCUGCCUUUCGGAGGGGGACAACAGCUGGAAACGGCUGCUAAUACCGCAUAAUGUAUAUUGGAGGCAUCUUCGAUAUACCAAAGACUUAUCGCCGAAAGAUGGACUCGCGUCUGAUUAGCUAGUUGGUAGGGUAAUGGCCUACCAAGGCUUCGAUCAGUAGCCGGACUGAGAGGUUGAACGGCCACAUUGGGACUGAGAUACGGCCCAGACUCCUACGGGAGGCAGCAGUGGGGAAUAUUGGGCAAUGGGCGAAAGCCUGACCCAGCAACGCCGCGUGAAGGAAGAAGGCUUUCGGGUUGUAAACUUCUUUGACGAGGGACGAAAAAAAUGACGGUACCUCGAAAACAAGCCACGGCUAACUACGUGCCAGCAGCCGCGGUAAUACGUAGG
RNAcentral lists this ribosomal RNA (426 nucleotides) under uncultured bacterium. RNAcentral describes it as "bacterial SSU rRNA". It matches the Rfam family "Bacterial small subunit ribosomal RNA", at positions 90 to 531 of the family's 1533-position model. The record is from RNAcentral.